CGACGUGAGCAAUCUGCCUUUAAGAGGGGGAUAACAGUCGGAAACGGCUGCUAAUACCGCAUAAAGCAUCGAAACCGCAUGAUUUUGAUGCCAAAGGAGCAAUCCGCUUUUAGAUGAGCUCGCGUCUGAUUAGCUGGUUGGCGGGGUAACGGCCCACCAAGGCGACGAUCAGUAGCCGGACUGAGAGGUUGAACGGCCACAUUGGGACUGAGACACGGCUCAG
RNAcentral lists this ribosomal RNA (223 nucleotides) under uncultured bacterium. Its description in RNAcentral is "partial 16S ribosomal RNA". It matches the Rfam family "Bacterial small subunit ribosomal RNA", at positions 113 to 334 of the family's 1533-position model. The record is from RNAcentral.